GGGGCAGCAGCCCAAUGGUACAGCUCCCACUCGUAUGCGGGAAGACCUGGGUUCGAUUCCCGGCUGCUUCU
This 71-nucleotide transfer RNA is filed under the name Toxocara canis (dog roundworm). It matches the Rfam family "tRNA". Rfam says of the family: Transfer RNA (tRNA) molecules are approximately 80 nucleotides in length. Their secondary structure includes four short double-helical elements and three loops (D, anti-codon, and T loops). Further hydrogen bonds mediate the characteristic L-shaped molecular structure. tRNAs have two regions of fundamental functional importance: the anti-codon, which is responsible for specific mRNA codon recognition, and the 3' end, to which the tRNAs corresponding amino acid is attached (by aminoacyl-tRNA synthetases). tRNAs cope with the degeneracy of the genetic code in two manners: having more than one tRNA (with a specific anti-codon) for a particular amino acid; and 'wobble' base-pairing, i.e. permitting non-standard base-pairing at the 3rd anti-codon position. Lineage: Eukaryota; Metazoa; Nematoda; Chromadorea; Rhabditida; Toxocaridae. The record is from Rfam by way of RNAcentral.